Molecule: ribosomal RNA, 498 nt
Filed under: uncultured bacterium
Lineage: Bacteria
Description: partial 16S ribosomal RNA
Rfam family: Bacterial small subunit ribosomal RNA
Source: RNAcentral
ACUCAAAUGAAUUGACGGGGGCCCGCACAAGCAGUGGAGUAUGUGGUUUAAUUCGAAGCAACGCGAAGAACCUUACCAGGGCUUGACAUACCAUUGAAGUACCUAGAGAUAGGUAUGUCCUUCGGGACAAUGGAUACAGGUGGUGCAUGGUUGUCGUCAGCUCGUGUCGUGAGAUGUUGGGUUAAGUCCCGCAACGAGCGCAACCCCUAUUGUUAGUUGCCAGCAAGUAAAGUUGGGCACUCUAGCGAGACUGCCGGUGAUAAAUCGGAGGAAGGUGGGGACGACGUCAAAUCAUCAUGCCCCUUAUGUCCUGGGCUACACACGUACUACAAUGGCUAUUACAGAGAGAAGCGAGAUCGUAAGGUGGAGCAAACCUCAAAAGAUAGUCCCAGUUCGAAUUGUGGGCUGAAACUCGCCCACAUGAAGUCGGAAUUGCUAGUAAUGGCAGGUCAGCAUACUGCCGUGAAUACGUUCCCGGGCCUUGUACACACCGCCCGU